Molecule: long non-coding RNA, 718 nt
Filed under: Salmo salar (Atlantic salmon)
Lineage: Eukaryota; Metazoa; Chordata; Actinopteri; Salmoniformes; Salmonidae
Description: lncRNA (ENSSSAG00000115671.1, ENSSSAG00020068865.1, ENSSSAG00075024339.1)
Source: RNAcentral
CUUCAGAGAAGUUUGGUAGCAAGCCCUGCAUGUAGAGUCAUUAGGCUCAUCUGUGAGUGUUUUGCUUGAGCUUUCAAUGAGAAUUUGGAUUGAGAUUCACAAGGAUCCUCAGAAAUGUGCAGGAAAGCUGGAAGUGCUGAUGUGGGUUGCUUCGUUCUGGCUUUGGCACAAACAGCGGGUGGGGGCUGUCAAGAAGCAGUCUGCGGCGAGAGAGGGAUGUCUGUCUGCUCCUGUAACACGAAGCCCAGGUCAAAUUUUUUGUAGAGUGGACCAUCCAACCCCCAGAAACUCUCCAGAAGAACCAUGCUGCCCCCUACAGAAAGAGUAUGGAAGAACAUUCAAGAUGACGACAAGCUUCACCUCAACAAAAAACGGAAAACAUUUGUGGGGUCCCAGUCAACCAUACCCAAGCAGACAACCAAACUCCUUUAUAAGGGCCUUGUUCCUUGCUGGGCUGGGGUGAGGCUGGAACCCGAAUCAACAGGACCACAGACCACAACAACACGGCAGCUCAGGCAAAGGGCUUGGUCAGCAAAAUACAACGUAAACCUACCUAACUAACCCAUUCGUCUUCAUCUAAUGAAAUACUGUCGAUCUGCUUUGUGUUUGUGUGUGUGUUUGUGUGGGUGUACGGGUGUGCAUGUUUACAGAUGUAAUAUACACUAAGUAUACAAAACAUUAAGAACUCCUGCUCUUUCCAUGACCAGGUGAAUCCAGG